This is an RNA transcript of Fukomys damarensis (Damara mole-rat), 2808 nucleotides long. It is a transcript of the gene named keratin, type I cytoskeletal 9-like, with no coding region annotated. NCBI's taxonomy places the organism in Eukaryota, Metazoa, Chordata, Mammalia, Rodentia, Bathyergidae. The transcript has 7 exons. The record is from RefSeq and is a predicted model, not a curated record.
CACGAGUCGUAGUACUGGGCAUAUGGGAGGUCAGUGCAGAGGCAGAGGCAGUGGAUAUACCAGGAGAGGAAAGACACUGGAUAACACUGGAGACCAGCUGGAUGAGGUCAUGGACCUUCAAGGUGUUGGCAGAGGCAGUGGAUGUACCAGGAGAGGAAAGACUCUGGGUGACACUGUAGAUGAGCUGGGUACUGUCAGGGGUCCUCAUGGUGGUGGGAGAGUUAGAGGCAAUAGAUAUAUCAGGAGACAAAAGACUCUGAGUGAGACUAGAGACAGGCUCGGUGCCUUCAUGGGUCCCCAUGGUGGUGGCGGAGGCAGAAGCAAUGGAUGUAGCAGCAGAGAAAAGACCCUGGGCGAGAGCAGAGAUCUGCUGGGUGGUGUCAUGGGUCCCCAUGGUAGUGUAAGAGGCAGGGGCAAUGGAUGUAGCAGCAGAGAUAAGACCCUGGGUGACACUGGGAACUGGCUGGGUAGAGUUAUGGGUCCCCAUCGUGGUGGCAGAGGCAUUGGAUGUCCCAGCGGACAUAAGACCUUGGGUGACACUAGAGAUCAGCUGGGUGCCGUCAUGAGUCCCCAUGGUGGGGUCCGAUGUCCCAGCAGAGAGGAGACCCUGGGUGAGAGUGGAGACUGGCUGGGUGCCAUCAUGGAUCUCCAUGGGGGUGGCAGAGGCGCAGGUAAUGGACGUAACAGCAGGGAUAAGACCCUGGCUGAGAGUGGAGACGGGCUGGGUAUUGCCAUGGAUCCCCAUGGUGGUGUCAGAGGCCUUGGCUGUUGCAGCAGAGCUAAGACCCUGGGUGAGACUGGAGACCGGCUGGGUGUUGCCAUGGAUCCCCAGUGUGAUGUCAGAGGCAGAGGCAAUGGAUGUCCCAGCAGAGAAAAGACUCUGGGUGAGACUAGAGACCGGCUGGGGGUUGCCAUGGAUCCCCAUGGUGGGGUCAGAGGUAAUGGAAGCACGAGCACAGAUAAGACCCUGGGUGAGAGUGGAGACCGGCUGGGUGCCAUCAUGGAUCUCCAUGGGGGUGUCAGAGGCACAGAGAGGAGACCCUGGGUGAGAGUGGAGACCGGCUGGGAGUUGCCAUGGAUCCCCAUGGUGGUGUCAGAGACCUUGGCUGUUGCAGCAGAGACAAGGCCCUGGGUGAGAGUGGAGACCGGCUGGGUGCUACCAUUUUUCCCCAUGGUGGUGGCUGAGGCAGAGGCAAUGGAUGUCCCAGCAGAGAGGAGACCCUGGGUGAGAGUGGAGACCGGCUCGGUGCCAUCAUGGAUCUCCAUGGGGGUGUCAGAGGCAGAGUUUUCAGGUCUCCACGAUGGAGCCUGCUGGGAGAGUGGGCAUCUCCGUGCUGCUGCCUGUCAUCGCCCCACAACGAGCAGUGUUUGGAAGACUGGACAAGAAUGGGACACCAGAACCGGCGGCGGGACAGUGGCUCUGUGAGGAAGCAAGAGAGCUUGCACACACUGCGGGCAGAGACGCCACUUUGGAAGUCUUGGGGAUGGCAGGGAAGGCAGACCCAGCACCCACUGCUGCUCUUUCGGAGGCCCUGGGACCCAAAGGGGCCGGGUCCUCCCCAUACAGAGGGGCCUCCCAGCUGGACUUUCUCUUUCCCUUCCUGUGGGCAAGGGCCUCCCGGGCGGAAGGACCAGGCACUGAAGAUUUUCUCCUGAUACCAUCCUUGCCUACAGCGGCCAGUGACACAUCUGAGGCUGUGGCCGUGGAGUGCGAGGAGGAGCCCGGAAGGGCUUCUGAGGAGGAGGGGCAGGCAGCAGUCGAGGUGCUGCGCUUCCUUCCAGACCCAGGACGCACGGAGCUGGUCGCAGCAGCAGGCAACGAGUCUGGAUUUGGAACUCAGACAGGGGUGACUUCUGCUCCCACACAGAGUCAAUCAGUUUACUCAGCACCUUUGGUUGAGCUGCCGAAUGUCUAGAAACUAUCCACAGAGAGCUCCGGCUUCCUAUGAAGACAGACCCAAAGAUGCAGAAGUGAGGACCUCACUCCUUGGAGCUGCCACCUCGUCCAGAGGCGAAAUGGCAAUGACUGCUUGCUGCUGGAAGCUGCUUUGAGCAAGGGGGCAGAAAAAUAAAAACAACAAAGAAAUAUGUAUGCAAGCGCCAACAGUGCAAAACCUGCCUGGGCACCUGCGCCCUAGCAGCGAGGAAGGGCCCUCAUGGAGAGAAAAUGCAGGCACCCAGAUGCUUGAGGCACAGCCUGAGGGGCCACAUGUGAAGAAGCUGCAGAUCCGUCUCCUGGACCCAGUGAAGUUUCCUGACCUCCUCCCGGGGCCUGAGGGAGAUAGGUCAUUUCUGCAUCUCAGCUGUUUUGGAUGGUGCUGCAGUGAACAUGGGAGAGCAGAUGGCUUUGAUCCUGAUUUCUGUUCUAGUGGAGAGUUACCCAGAAGUGGAAUUCGCAGGCCACGCAUAGAUAAAAUAAGCCAGUCACAGGGUAAAUAAGCACAGAUUUACAUAUAUGAGGCACUUGAAAUAAAUGAUCUUAUCAAAACAGAGAGUACUAGGGUGGUUUCUGUGGCCUGGGGUGAGGGGAAUAAGACUUGCUCUUUAUUGAGUGCAGAAUUUCAAUUGUGGAUGGUGAAUAAGAUCUAAAGGUGUCCUGCACAACAAUAUGACUCUACUUAACAAUAUUGCAAUGUACACUUAGAAGCCGAUUAUGAGAUUAGAAAUCACAGGUCUUUGUACCAGGAUUAAAAGCACUGUUAGACAUUUUCUGGUUGGUAAAGAAAGGUUCAGGAAUAUAAAAUUAAAGGGUUUAUACAUUGAAUAAAUGUCAAAUUCUAUGAUCAGGCAAUUUCCAAAAAAUAAAAA